Long non-coding RNA from Gadus macrocephalus (Pacific cod), 1464 nucleotides. RefSeq lists it as uncharacterized. The transcript is spliced from 3 exons. NCBI's taxonomy places the organism in Eukaryota, Metazoa, Chordata, Actinopteri, Gadiformes, Gadidae. The record is from RefSeq and is a predicted model, not a curated record.
ACCACAGAUUGUACAUACACAUUCAUAAAUGAAGUAGGGCUGCCCCCUAAUAGUAGACUAAAAACUUGUUGGUUUUACUAGUAAUGUUGUUAUACAAAAGAAAUUAGAGGGAAUAUUCUAAAUGGAAAACUCUUAUUCAGGGCAGCUCUAAAAUGAAGGUUUUUUUUCCCGCUGCAUCAAAUGAGGAGUUGUAUUAUAGGCACAAAAACAAAGCAAGAUUGGUGGUGUGCACUAAUGAGUGGGCUCGUGAUGUCCUCCGGGAGUGCCAUGACAACCUGGGCACUGGAGGUCAUCAAGGGAGGCGCAGGACAAUGGAAAAAAUAAAGGCAUCCUACCACUGGGCAAGAAUGCGAGAGGACGUUAAGAAAUGGGUAGGUUUUUGGACUUCGUGAAAGUUGCCAAAGCCAGUGCUUUCUGACAUCCUCACUGAGGUGGUACUCCAAGAGGGAGAUGAAGCUUACUCAACUCUGGCUCUGGUGUGUUCCACCUUCAGGAACAUAGUGUCCACUGACAGGUUCAAAAGACAGGCACAUUUUCUGUGGCUCAACACAGGCGUCACUACAUGGUGUAGACAGAGUAUCCGCCAACUACAGAGCAGAGUUCUACACCAUGUACAGUAUUGGGACCUGCAUGGCAUGUGGUCGGCUCUACAAAGUCUGCACAGGUUCUUACCUUCGAUAAUAGGGACUUUAAGCAGCAACGUUUUAUGGGAGGCAACGGCAUCUUGUUGCCGUAGUAUAACUCAAGUAUCACUUAGCCACUCUCUACUUGCUUGACAAAACACCCAUUCCUCUUUAUAAACAGACGGACUACUGGAACGGGAGGUGAUAACAUAAAUUCCAGAAUCCCAUAAGUUGUUCUCGAGGUAGCCCUCCACUCAACUGUUGCUACUCCAAGUCCCUAAUCGUAUGUGUCAGUACAUGAAGUGUUAAGGUCAUACCUGUAUAGACCGCAUGCAAAGUGUGUGGUUAGACUAUGAUUUCAUUUUUUUUUUUCUGUUUUAGGAUAUAUUGGUACAUGGAAAAGAGACAAACUGGAAGGAAUAUAUUCCGACAGCUACGACGGGGGGUACUGUGAUGACAUCUGCCGUCCAAGAUCAUAGGUACAUUUAAGUUGUAAAUAUGGAUACAAAUCCCUGACGAGACUAAUUGCAUGAAGUUGAAGGUCUCAAGAUAAAUACAUCUGCACACCUCUGCUUUUUUCAGAUGGCAUUCUCCCCCCCCCCCCCCCCUUCCCGUCGAGAGGAGUGGAGAUAUGGCUUGAUGACUGUUGUUUUCAGAGCCUGUGGGAAUACACCAGUGCGAUAUCGCCACUGCAGGCCACAUGAAUAAAAAAAUAUAUAAUAUACAAAUAUGUCAGUGUGUGUGCCCGUGUGUGUAUCCAAACACAUACACUGCAAUUCACAUACACACAUACAGCUCAAUGUAAAUCCAUGAAAACAUCAUGUUUUGAUCCCACGGCCGA